UGUUUUAACAAACUUUGGAGACUGGAUUGCUGAAUCACUAAAUUAAAAUCCAACCAUACCUUUUCAGAAGAAACAAUGCAUGUAUAUAAAGAUUAUAGGACGUUUUCUAAAUCAAAUCUUAAUUGUAAGAAAUGGAAGAAUUUAUGAUGCUGCUAACCACCUCUGGUUGUUUGCAUGUUGCAAAAAGUACACGAUACAAAUGCGUUUGGAUAUAUGAUAAUUGAACUGAGAGUUAGAAGAUUUUUUUGUUUUCGUCCAUGCAAGAUAGUUUUACACACAAGUCACAUGUUCGACGUUUUUUCAAUAUUUGGGCAUAGCUGACAUUUUUCUUAACCAUUGGAAUAUACACAGACGCUGAUACUUAAAAAUGGCAGCUAUUUUUUUCUUCACUGCUGGUAAAGGUACAUCAUUUAUCUGUGUUAAUUUCCAGAAAAAUGAAAGAUGCUACAUAACAGAAGAAGUAUUUUGAUUUGCUUAUAAUUGUACAGCAUCACAUAACUUUGAUAAUUCAAUAAUUUCAACCGUCUUUCUAUUUAUUUACGAAUUGAAUAUUAGUUUGGCUUGUUCACUGUUUUGCGAGUGAAAUUGGUAAAGCAUUUUGAUGCACAAAAGAUGUUAAGGUUACUGUAAAGGAAAAAACUCACUUGAUGAGUAGUCUCAAUGGUAAUUUUCCAAAAAGAAAAUAUAAUGAAAUAAACACACACCAAUUUUUCUUCACCGUACGUUUUAAAAUGGCUUCUUUUUCCGAACGCGUGGUCGCAGACUUCUCGUUUUCGCACCAUUAUAUUCAGCACGAAUUAAAUUCAAAAAGGUUCCCGGUUUUUUUUUUCUAAUAACGUUGUUAUGAAAUUAUUUGUAAUUAUAUAUAAUCAUUCAAAAAAAUGCAUAUUUUUUUCUUUCUGUCGUCAUAAUUCGCUAAUCAGUAAUUUAUACAAAAAAAUCCGGGAACCUUUUGUGCAUAAUUUAUUCAGCUUUUCAUUACCGAAAAUUUUAAUGGGCCAAUAGGAAGCUUUUGGAAAAAGAGACCACAAACGAAAAGGCAUGUAUGCGAAAAUUUACUAACGAGAUAUUUGUUUUUAAAGAUUUUCGUAGGUGUUAUAAAAAUGUGUGAACUGAGUAUGCAGAAAGAUGAUAGAAGUGCGAACUUUUUCUUUAUGCUGAAUAUGCGUGCACGCGUUCAGAAUUAUUAAUAGACAGAAGUCAGGUUUACAGGAGACAGCUCAUAUGCAUAUUCCUUAACUUUGAUUUUUUUUAAUUCGAUAGUGAAAGUUAACUAUCUAAAAAAUAUUAUUAUGCAUAUUUUUAUACGGGAGUUCCAUAUUAUGCACAAUGUUUACAAAAAGUAUGCUCAACUCAUUUUGCACAUAUUUUUUCAAAGGUGUGAAGGAUAUAACACCUCUAAAAAGGCUUUUUCCAGAAAAAAGGGAUGUUCCAAAUAUUUUCAUAAAAUAUAAAAUAUGUCAUUGGAAAGAGAUUUUUUUUUUCUGUAUGUCAUGAAUUUUUUGCAAAAAACCUAAAAAAAAAAUUGUUUCCUUUACAGUAACCUUAAGGAAAUUAUUAAAGAAUUGCCACACAUGAAACUAAGGCCUUUUUGGCACCAGCAUGUAUGCAGUAGAAAGUAACAUACAGCUUGUAUUUGUUUUUUAUGUUACCUUAACUUAUAGCGGAAAUGGUGUAGUGGUAGCGCAUUCGACUUGUAAUCAUAAGGUUUCAGGUUCGAGUCCGCACUCCGGCGCACUUUAAAUGCAGUGUUGUCAGCCCGUUUGGUGCCAUCUUUUGUCCGCUAACCGGCUUGUGUGGCAGGCAAGCAAGUUAGAGCAAUGCUAUACGUAUCUCCGGCGGUAAUGUAACAAAGUUACAGUCGGAGGGGAGAAAGAACCAACCGUUAGGUCCCCAAGGACGUUAAAACUUCCCGUUACUGAGUUACUUACUUACCUGAAAUACAUAUUCAGUAUUUUCUGAACUCUUUGACGUUUACGUUCUAAAAAAAUAUUCCAAUCUAUGGAAAUGCAUGUGAUAACAAAAACGUUUCUUUAUAAGUAAGUCUAUGGUAAAUUUGUUUUCUCCAAAAAUCCUAAAUUUGUUCAUAAUUAUGCUUCUUGUUUGUGCAUCCCUAUUUAGUGUUUUCUGUUUGUUUUUGUUCAAUUGUUGAGUUCCUUCAUUGCAGCAAUUUUAGGUUGAAUUUCUGAGUUCUUCGUUUAAUCUAUCUUUUUUACUUCUAAAAUUACCAAGAACUCCUUUAAAAGUGAAUUUAAAAAAAAUUGUUGUUAUUUAUUUUAACCUUCCUGGUACAGGUGAAGUUCUAUAAAAUGACCUGUUUCUGUCUGUCUGUCUGUCCGUUACCAAUUUUUUUUUUAAAAAUUAAGCUUUCUCUGAUUUUUUGCACGAAGUUAGAGAACAAUGAAACCUCAAUUGUUACAACGUUCGAUUUUAUAAAAAAAAUCUUAUCAGCUCAAAAAUGCGAAAAAUGAGCAAGAACGUUCCAAAAAACGGUUUUUACGACAUUUUCAGGCUUUGAUCUAAUUUCUAAUUUUUGCACAAUGACAGGAAACAAUGUGCUGAAGACAGUUGGUGGAUUUGUAGGACAUUUUUUAGGAUUUGAUUAUCAGUGCAUUCUAAUUUGUUGCACAAUCAUGACCAUCAAAUGUGACAAAGUCAGUUAUUUUCGAAUAAUAGUGAAUUCGUACGCAAAAUGAGUCCAAGAUUUAAAAAUAUGGAUUUUGGCACUUUCUGACGAUUGGACUAUUAGUCUUUUGUGAUGUUUUAUAUCCAGGUAGGUCUGUUGAAGUUCUUGUUUUUAUAUUAAGCAUGUUGUACUGCAUUUAAAUUUUAGAAUUGAUACAGAUUGUGAGAUGAUUUCCACAGAAAAACACAACGUGAUUGUUCAACAAUUAUGGAGUGUUAUGAGUAAUUAGUUGUUGACGUCAUACAGUACCACAGCGAGGCGUGUUUGAGUUGACGCAUUGUUCGAUGCUGCAUGAAUAACAACGUGGUAUACACCACUACAUUGUUCGUAGUUUUCAUUUUUUAAUCUAAUAUUGAUUUAUUAUGAUAAUUAUGAUAAUUAUUCAAUUAUUUCUUUGGUGCUUUAUAUUUUAAUUAGGUACUUGCAAAAGUUAGCUAUCUGUUAUUUAACACUGUUCCGUUUUUUAAUCCUGUGCAGUGUAAAUUCCGAUCUUAGUGGAAUAAUAUUCUGUUUCAUCUACGAAAUUGUCUACACACCAUCAAAUUUUAAAUGUCAAAGAGCAUUUAGUAUUUUCACAAGUUGAAGAGAAUGUUAUGUCUAUUAUAAUCAGCCUUCAACGUUUUAUUUGUUAAACAAUUUUUUAAAAAAACUAACACAUUAUAUUUCUGCCGCAAAUACCGCAUGAUGAUCAUAUCAUUGGCAACCAGGCUAAAUUACAACGUUGUAUUGUAAAACAGCACGUUGUACCAUCAUGCAUUUAUGAGUUUUUUUUACCUCAGUGUUCAUGGUUUGUGCAUUGACCAUAAUGCACACCUUUUCUGGGAAUAAUGUUUUUUAAGCACGUAAGUUCUACGUGUGAGUAAUUUGCUUUUUUUUCUCCAAUGAAGCAUACCUCUAUGUGUGUUCAAAUUUUAAAUUCCCUAGUCGAAGCUUAAUUUAUCAUUAGCAAGAGGGUCAUCGAACAACUGACUCCUAAGUGAGGGGGGAAGGGAGGUGUCAUCGAACAACCGACUCUUGAGUGAAAGGGGAAUGUCAUCGAACAACUGAACACUAAGUUAUGGAGGGUGAGGAAGGGGUCAUCGAGCAACUAAGUACUAAGUGAGGAAGGGUGUCAUCGAACAACUGAGUACUGAGUGAGGGAGGGCGUCAUCGAACAACUGAGUACUGAGUGAGGGGGGAAAUGUAAUCGAACAACUGAACACUCAGUGAGGAAGGGGAUCAACUGAAUACUAAG
Long non-coding RNA from Hydractinia symbiolongicarpus, 3920 nucleotides. RefSeq lists it as uncharacterized. The transcript has 3 exons. The record is from RefSeq and is a predicted model, not a curated record. NCBI's taxonomy places the organism in Eukaryota, Metazoa, Cnidaria, Hydrozoa, Anthoathecata, Hydractiniidae.